This 253-nucleotide ribosomal RNA is filed under the name uncultured bacterium. Its description in RNAcentral is "partial 16S ribosomal RNA". It matches the Rfam family "Bacterial small subunit ribosomal RNA", at positions 524 to 776 of the family's 1533-position model. The record is from RNAcentral.
UACGAAGGGGGCUAGCGUUGUUCGGAAUUACUGGGCGUAAAGCGCGCGCAGGCGGUUCUUCAAGUCAGGGGUGAAAUCCCAGGGCUCAACCCUGGAACUGCCUCUGAUACUGGCAAUCUGGAGAUCGGGAGAGGUUGGUGGAAUUCCGAGUGUAGAGGUGAAAUGCGUAGAUAUCUGGAGGAACACCGGUGGCGAAGGCGACAUCCUGGACCGGUAUUGACGCUGAGGCGCGAAAGCCAGGGGAGCAAACGGG